GUUCUCACUUCGGCAGCACAUAUACUAAAACUUAGAAUGGUACAAAGAAGAUUAGCAUGGCCCCUGCACAAGGAUGACACCAAAAUUUGUGAAGCAUUCCAUAUUUUC
RNAcentral lists this small nuclear RNA (108 nucleotides) under Chinchilla lanigera (long-tailed chinchilla). Lineage: Eukaryota; Metazoa; Chordata; Mammalia; Rodentia; Chinchillidae. The record is from RNAcentral.